AUUGAACGCUGGCGGCAGGCUUAACACAUGCAAGUCGAGCGGAGCGAGGGUGCUUGCACCUUAGCUUAGCGGCGGACGGGUGAGUAAUGCUUAGGAAUCUGCCUAUUAGUGGGGGACAACAUUCCGAAAGGAAUGCUAAUACCGCAUACGCCCUACGGGGGAAAGCAGGGGAUCUUCGGACCUUGCGCUAAUAGAUGAGCCUAAGUCGGAUUAGCUAGUUGGUGGGGUAAAGGCCUACCAAGGCGACGAUCUGUCGCGGGUGUGAGAGGAUGAUCGGCCACACUGGGAGUGAGACACGGCCCAGACCCCUACGGGAGGCAGCAGUGGGGAAUAUUGGACAAUGGGCGGAAGCCUGAUCCAGCCAUGCCGCGUGUGUGAAGAAGGCCGUCUGGUUGUAAAGCACUUUAAGCGAGGAGGAGGCUACUUAGAUUAAUACUCUGGGAUAGUGGACGUUACUCGCAGAAUAAGCACCGGCUAACUCUGUGCCAGCAGCCGCCGUAA
RNAcentral lists this ribosomal RNA (501 nucleotides) under uncultured bacterium. RNAcentral describes it as "partial 16S ribosomal RNA". It matches the Rfam family "Bacterial small subunit ribosomal RNA", at positions 30 to 523 of the family's 1533-position model. The record is from RNAcentral.